RNAcentral lists this ribosomal RNA (497 nucleotides) under uncultured bacterium. Its description in RNAcentral is "partial 16S ribosomal RNA". It matches the Rfam family "Bacterial small subunit ribosomal RNA", at positions 28 to 507 of the family's 1533-position model. The record is from RNAcentral.
GACGAACGCUGGCGGCGUGCCUAAUACAUGCAAGUUGUGCGAUGAAGAUUGGUGCUUGCCCCAAUUUGAAGAGCAGCGAACGGGUGAGUAACGCGUGGGGAAUCUGCCUUUGAGCGGGGGACAACAUUUGGAAACGAAUGCUAAUACCGCAUAACAACUUUAAACAUAAGUUUUAAGUUUGAAAGAUGCAAUUGCAUCACUCAAAGAUGAUCCCGCGUUGUAUUAGCUAGUUGGUGAGGUAAAGGCUCACCAAGGCGAUGAUACAUAGCCGACCUGAGAGGGUGAUCGGCCACAUUGGGACUGAGACACGGCCCAAACUCCUACGGGAGGCAGCAGUAGGGAAUCUUCGGCAAUGGACGAAAGUCUGACCGAGCAACGCCGCGUGAGUGAAGAAGGUUUUCGGAUCGUAAAACUCUGUUGGUAGAGAAGAACGUUGGUGAGAGUGGAAAGCUCAUCAAGUGACGGUAACUACCCAGAAAGGGACGGCUAACUACGUG